ACUCGAGUGGCGAACGGGUGAGUAACACGUGGGUGAUCUGCCCUGCACUUCGGGAUAAGCUUGGGAAACUGGGUCUAAUACCGGAUAGGAGCCAUCUUUAGUGUGGUGGUUGGAAAGUUUUUCGGUGUAGGAUGAGCUCGCGGCCUAUCAGCUUGUUGGUGGGGUAAUGGCCUACCAAGGCGGCGACGGGUAGCCGGCCUGAGGGGGUGGACGGCCACAUUGGGACUGAGAUACGGCCCAG
RNAcentral lists this ribosomal RNA (241 nucleotides) under uncultured Actinomycetales bacterium. Its description in RNAcentral is "partial 16S ribosomal RNA". It matches the Rfam family "Bacterial small subunit ribosomal RNA", at positions 89 to 334 of the family's 1533-position model. Lineage: Bacteria; Bacillati; Actinomycetota; Actinomycetes; Actinomycetales. The record is from RNAcentral.